RNAcentral lists this microRNA precursor (169 nucleotides) under Prunus dulcis (almond). Its description in RNAcentral is "sRNA ncRNA". Lineage: Eukaryota; Viridiplantae; Streptophyta; Magnoliopsida; Rosales; Rosaceae. The record is from RNAcentral.
AAUGAGAGCGAAGAUGAGAUUGAGAGGGAAGAUGAGAAUGGAGGAUGAGAUGAAUGAGUAAUAAAAGUGAAAACAAAAACAAAAACAUGAAAUCUAUUUGAAAUUGUUUUCACUUUUGUUACUCUUCCCUCCCAUCCUCCCCUCUCAAUCUCAUCCUCAUCCUCACUCC